GGCUUAGGCUGCCGCAGAUGGAUGAGCCUGCGUUGGAUUAGCUAGUUGGUGGGGUAAGGGCCUACCAAGGCUACGAUCCAUAGCUGAUUUGAGAGGAUGAUCAGCCACAUUGGGACUGAGACACGGCCCAAACUCCUACGGGAGGCAGCAGUGGGGAAUAUUGGACAAUGGGGGAAACCCUGAUCCAGCAAUGCCAUGUGUGUGAAGAAGGCUCUAGGGUUGUAAAGCACUUUAGUUGGGGAGGAAAGCCUAUGAGUUAAUAGCUUGUAGGAAGGACGUUACCCAAAGAAUAAGGACCGGCUAACUCCGUGCCAGCAGCCGCGGUAAUACGGGGGGUCCGAGCGUUAAUCGGAAUUACUGGGCGUAAAGGGUCUGUAGGUGGUUUGUUAAGUCAGAUGUGAAAGCCCAGGGCUCAACCUUGGAACUGCAUUUGAUACUGGCAAACUAGAGUAUGGUAGAGGAAUGGGGAAUUUCUGGUGUAGCGGUGAAAUGCGUAGAGAUCAGAAGGAACACCAAUGGCGAAGGCAACAUUCUGGACCAAUACUGACACUGAGGGACGAAAGCGUGGGGAUCAAACAGGAUUAGAUACCCUGGUAGUCCACGCUGUAAACGAUGAGUACUAGCUGUUGGAUUCGGUGUAAAGGAUCUAGUGGCGCAGCUAACGCGUUAAGUACUCCGCCUGGGGACUACGGCCGCAAGGCUAAAACUCAAAGGAAUUGACGGGGACCCGCACAAGCGGUGGAGCAUGUGGUUUAAUUCGAUGCAACGCGAAGAACCUUACCUGGUCUUGACAUCCUGCGAACUU
This 805-nucleotide ribosomal RNA is filed under the name Francisella philomiragia. Its description in RNAcentral is "bacterial SSU rRNA". It matches the Rfam family "Bacterial small subunit ribosomal RNA", at positions 202 to 998 of the family's 1533-position model. The record is from RNAcentral. Lineage: Bacteria; Pseudomonadati; Pseudomonadota; Gammaproteobacteria; Thiotrichales; Francisellaceae.